Molecule: long non-coding RNA, 1314 nt
Organism: Portunus trituberculatus (swimming crab)
Lineage: Eukaryota; Metazoa; Arthropoda; Malacostraca; Decapoda; Portunidae
Exons: 4
Source: RefSeq, a predicted model, not a curated record
UGUUAGUCGUGAAGGCUUGUCUGACAUACGGUGGUGUUUGUCGUGAAGGCUUGUCUGACAUACGGUGGUGUUUGUCGUGAAGGCUUGUCUGACAUACGGUGGUGUUUGUCGUGAAGGCUUGUCUGACAUCGUAGUGGUGUUGAUAUUGGUGUGUGUGGAGUAAAGGACCGGUGAAGCCGAACUCGUUAAGUACGAUAGUUCGGGAGUGCCAUGCGGUGUGUUAGACAGAGGGAUAGGUGUUGUCUGAAUUAAAUCUUAAUUCUUUUGCAUUUGCAUAGGAGUACUUUUAACAUGUACUAGCUAUAUGAUGACUUGGCUUUCGCCUCGUGACAUCCAUGGUGAUUGCAUCGGGUAUUGGUUGUAGCGGAUCUCGGCAUCACCCAGGCAAUGAUUGUGUUGAAUGACACGGCUGACGGGAGGGCAUGGAACAUACACCUAGGCCAGAGUUGUUACGACCAGCCAGCGCCAACGAGUGAGAUCGGUGAUCACCGAUCAGUGAUCGGUGACAGGAGCUGUUGGCCAGCCUCGACGUGGUGGUGGUGAUGGUGGUGGUGGUGUGCUGCUGCUGCUGCUGCUGCUGCUGCUGCUGCGUGAAUUGGAGCGUGUCCUGCCGACCAUACCUUCAAUUGCCUGCAGGGCGACGCCGCUGCCGAGAGAACAUGGUACGUGCAGGAAGGCCAAAACUGUGAUAAACCAGCGCCAGCGACAAGGAGACACGGGUUCGGCCAGCGCCAGCUAGAGAUCUUUUACUUUUAGAGGUGUUGGCCUGCUGUUCAGAGCGGCGGAGUGCUGUGACGUGCCGUUGGUGGUUCAGCUGAUGUCCCUGUUGAAGGGAGUGUGGCCGCUAUCUUCACCCUACUCAGGAAAUGGACUGGUGCUGCACUGGGACACAUAGAUGCCAUCUCCUGCCUUGCUUCACCUUCUAGGGAGGGACUCUGCACCUCACCUCAUUGCCCUGCCAGUAGCUCCAUGAUGCUCUGCAGGGAGGAAGCUUGCCAUGCAGGAAGGACAAGAAUUUUGCGUUUUUUUUUUUUUUUUUUUGUGUAAACUGGUUAAGGGCAACAAAAUAAAGGUUUGCUUAAUUGCCAGAUUUCAUGAGAUCAAUAGUUCGGCCAAAAGAUGGGGACAAAUAUAUGAAGAUGGAAAUACAGAAGCAGGCAGGGAGUUCCAGAGUUUACAGUUUCUGCCCACGCCUUGCUGCUUCAUACCUGGAGAGAAGAGACUUAAGCUGUGUACUUGAUCUGAUGUUAUUUCUUGUUUGAAUGUAAUGUAGAGCUGUGGUUCUAGUAUUCGUUAAUAAAUUGAAUUGAUUUA